RNAcentral lists this long non-coding RNA (1279 nucleotides) under Capra hircus (goat). RNAcentral describes it as "lncRNA (ENSCHIG00000002355.1)". The record is from RNAcentral. Lineage: Eukaryota; Metazoa; Chordata; Mammalia; Artiodactyla; Bovidae.
GCUGACAGCUGUAAUUGCUGCAGGUUAUAAAAAUAUCUAUAGGACAAUGCCUUUCAAGCUCUCAGGCACACACAUACACACUCACACACACUAAAUGAAAGAAAACAAUCAUAUUCCCUUUAAUAAUCCUGGGACUGCAAAGGAGGGGGCACGGAGGAGCUUGCCGUGUGGACUGGAGGGCUGGCAGGCAGGUGAGAACGUGGAGGAGAUGAAGACUCCUAGCAGUGGCAGCAUCUCCACACGAAAGAAGGGAUGGAGAAGGGAGCAUUUGCCAAUGGAAGGGAAAUUGGCUGUUUUUGUUUUUCCCUGUGUUACCUACAGCAAGCUGGGGUUGGUUGAAGAGCCGUGAAUUCUCCAUAUACACGAGAGACCGAAAGAAGAGCUCUCGCCUGAGACGUGCCAGUGCUGCUGCUGCCUUCUCUAAAAAGGCGAAAGGCCCCCCUCUCCUGGUGGAGAUUCCAAAUAGGAGCUCAGGCGAGAAGAGGCUGCUUGCAGGAUGGUUGGUGGUGCCAAAUGGACGUCAGGGUGUUUAAUCAGGAGGGGCGGGGGUCCAGCUGGAUCAGUGAUGGCUCUAGGGGAGUGGGGAAGGGCUGGGCUCGGGAAGAAUGCGUGCUCUUCUGUCCUGCAGAGGAUCAAAAAAUCAUUGUUCGUCCGGGCUAGAGUCUGGUGUGUGAGGAUUUCAGAGGGAAGAGCCAAAGCUUCAGGAAGGGAAAGAAGCAUCGGAGGAAAAGAAAGCAGUCAUGAAUGGAGAGAACUGAGGAGGAAGAGAACAAGGGCAAAGCCAGGAGCAACUGUAGAAGACAGAAUCUGUCAUGAGACAAGAAUUUGCUCAAUAACAUAUGGGUUCAAUUGUGCUUCUUACGGGGCAUGGCAUUUUGUAAACAUCAUUUUGUAUCUGGAUCCAAGUCUUAACUCUGGCCAACAUUAAACAAGUCCCUUGUUUGUUUGUUUGUCUGUUUGUUUUUUAGCUUCUUUGUUUUCAGAAAAACUAACAUCUCCAUGAAAUGUAGGUCUUUGAGAAGACCUAGUGCCAACCAAUGCAUUCAAAUGGGCUAAUGCCUUUUUGAAAGCUGAAAGCACUGUUCUACAGUAAGAUAAUGGAUGGUAUCAUCGACUCAAUGGGCAUGAGUUUAAGCAAAUUCAGAGAGAUAGUGAAAGAGAGGGAAGUCUGACAUGCUGCAUCCAUGGGCUUGCAAAGAGUAGGACACAACUUAGCUACUGAACAGCACCAGUAGGGUGAUAGCUCACAGAAGGCUGGGGUCAAGGGUAAAGCAUUUGC